AGUGAACGCUGGCGGUAGGCCUAACACAUGCAAGUCGAACGGCGGCACAGUAAGAGCUUGCUCUUACGGGUGGCGAGUGGCGGACGGGUGAGGCAUACAUCGGAAUCUACUUUUUCGUGGGGGAUAACGUAGGGAAACUUACGCUAAUACCUCAUACGACCUACGGGUGAAAGCAUGGUAUCUUCGGACCUUUCGCGAAUGACUGAGCCGAUGUCGGAUUUGUUAGUUGGCGGGGUAAAGGCCCACCAAGGCGACGAUCCGUAGCUGGUCUGAGAGGAUGAUCAGCCACACUGGAACUGGGACACGGUCCAGACUCCUACGGGAGGAAGCAGUGGGGAAUAUUGGACAAUGGGCGAAAGCCUGAUCCAGCCAUACCGCGUGGGUGAAGAAGGCCUUCGGGUUGUAAAGCCCUUUUGUUGGGAAAGAAAAGCAGCAGGUUAAUACCCCGCUGUUCUGACGGUACCCAAAGAAUAAGCACCGGCUAACUUCGUG
Molecule: ribosomal RNA, 492 nt
Filed under: uncultured bacterium
Lineage: Bacteria
Description: partial 16S ribosomal RNA
Rfam family: Bacterial small subunit ribosomal RNA
Source: RNAcentral